UUUACUGUAGCUCAGUGGUAGAGUGGUCGGCUGUUAACCGAUUAGUAAUA
Molecule: transfer RNA, 50 nt
Filed under: Solanum lycopersicum (tomato)
Lineage: Eukaryota; Viridiplantae; Streptophyta; Magnoliopsida; Solanales; Solanaceae
Rfam family: tRNA
About the family: Transfer RNA (tRNA) molecules are approximately 80 nucleotides in length. Their secondary structure includes four short double-helical elements and three loops (D, anti-codon, and T loops). Further hydrogen bonds mediate the characteristic L-shaped molecular structure. tRNAs have two regions of fundamental functional importance: the anti-codon, which is responsible for specific mRNA codon recognition, and the 3' end, to which the tRNAs corresponding amino acid is attached (by aminoacyl-tRNA synthetases). tRNAs cope with the degeneracy of the genetic code in two manners: having more than one tRNA (with a specific anti-codon) for a particular amino acid; and 'wobble' base-pairing, i.e. permitting non-standard base-pairing at the 3rd anti-codon position.
Source: Rfam by way of RNAcentral